RNAcentral lists this small nuclear RNA (107 nucleotides) under Procavia capensis (Cape rock hyrax). Lineage: Eukaryota; Metazoa; Chordata; Mammalia; Hyracoidea; Procaviidae. The record is from RNAcentral.
GUGUUCGCUUGGGCGGCACAUACUCUAAAAUUGGAACGAUAUAGAGAAGAUGAGCAUGGCGCCUGCGCAAGGAUGACACACAAAUUCGUGAAGCAUUCCAUAUUUUU